This is a long non-coding RNA of Anopheles arabiensis, 1254 nucleotides long. RefSeq lists it as uncharacterized. The record is from RefSeq and is a predicted model, not a curated record. Lineage: Eukaryota; Metazoa; Arthropoda; Insecta; Diptera; Culicidae. The transcript has 2 exons.
AAAAUUAUUUUGGGUAAUUUUGCAUCGUUCGUUUUGACGAUCACAUUCGUAUGCAAAGCUCUCCUUCGCUUGACCUUUCACGGGUUUUUACACAGAGUUUUUGUUUACAUUCUUCUCCACUUUACACUGUUAAUUACUUAAUACUAAUUACCAGCAGCGAUCGAACAGGUUCUCGUGAUACGUUCCCAGAGACGUAAACCAGCAGCAUGGGGAAUUCAAAACGAUUAACACACAAUUCGUUGGAAUCACUGUUGCUUUAAGCGAAGUUGGUUGACCGGUGCGACGACCUCCACGCACAGCCCGCGACGAGCUAUUACUGGCGGGACUCAUCUUCGAAAUUCUACCCAGAACCUUCAACACAAUGAGAUCAGCUGCACCCCGGGAACGGUUUUGAAUUUGAAACUAUGCUCACAACCACCGUAUCACAAUUAUCAAAUUUACACUACUCUAUUUGUCUCGGACAUCAGAGUUAAUGAUACGCGGAAGGGAAGAGCAGCCCUCGCGAUAAGUAUCAACUUGGCGUCCACCGCCAAAGGCGAAUGAACCACAAAUGCUUGAAGCUAAUCAGCAGCGAUCUUGCCGAUAUGUUUGUAUGUGUACUUGUCUCGUUUGCACUUUGCUGCUGGACGUCUAAUGCGCGCGAUCUUGGAGUAACAUCCGACGACGACGAUUACCGAUGAUGAAUUCUAACCCGCCCCCUCCCUGCGGACAAGUCCACACUCACAGGACAGACCACUACACACUCCACUCUGUGCUGUGCGUGUGUAGGAAUAAUCCACCACGCUUUACGCUACCAGCAGUUCGGACUCCGAGACGCUGCCCACUGAUCAGUUCGAGACGACAAUUCGAACUGGCGUGCUCGGCCCGACCGGAGACGCUACUUGUAUGCAAAGGCCUCGGCCAGUUCGUGAGGCUUUGCCACCAUACCCAUCCGCGAUCCGCAUAUCGCACCCGCACGCGGCCCGCACGCAUUAUUGCGAUUAUCGUCUCGUCGCUUUUCGUACCGGCGGGGAGGAAGGUGGUGUGUUUGAUGAUACAGUAGAAGCCCCCGAGGGUAGAUAUCGAGCGGUGGUAGGUUUUGUUCUCACACGCAAAAAAGGUUCUAUUAACGUGAUAUGUUCCAGGAGUUUGUGUAAUUUAAAUUUAAAAUUGUUGUGAUAGCAGUUUAUAGUAUUUUAGAUCACGAAUGACUAUCUCUUUUUACCCAAAAAUUGUGUGAAUGAUUAAAAAAUAAAUAAUGUUGUUUUAUAGUUA